GCUUAGCCCUAAACCCAAACAGCUACCAAACAAGACUGCUCGCCAGAGAACUACUAGCAAAUGCUUAAAACUCAAAGGACUUGGCGGUGCCCUAAACCCACCUAGAGGAGCCUGUUCUAUAAUCGAUAAACCCCGAUAAACCUUACCCCCUUUUGCCAAUACAGCCUGUAUACCGCCAUCGUCAGCCCACCUCAUCAGAGAACUAAAGUGGGCAAGAUUAUUAUUCAUAAAAACGUUAGGUCAAGGUGUAGCGUAUAAGAGGGAAAGCAAUGGGCUACAUUUUCUAUACUAGAAUACAACGAACUAUCUCUUGAAAGCUAAGACAUCCGAAGGAGGAUUUAGUAGUAAAUUAAGAAUAGAGAGCUUAAUUGAAUUAGGCAAUAGGGCGCGC
Molecule: ribosomal RNA, 391 nt
Filed under: Gymnobelideus leadbeateri (Leadbeater's possum)
Lineage: Eukaryota; Metazoa; Chordata; Mammalia; Diprotodontia; Petauridae
Description: partial 12S ribosomal RNA
Rfam family: Bacterial small subunit ribosomal RNA
Source: RNAcentral